UAUUACCGCGGCUGCUGGUCCUACGGGAGGCAGCAGUGGGGAAUAUUGCACAAUGGGCGAAAGCCUGAUGCAGCAACGCCGCGUGAGCGAUGAAGGCCUUCGGGUCGUAAAGCUCUGUCCUCAAGGAAGAUAAUGACGGUACUUGAGGAGGAAGCCCCGGCUAACUACGUGCCAGCAGCCGCGGUAAU
This 188-nucleotide ribosomal RNA is filed under the name Clostridium sp. M1. RNAcentral's name for it is "partial 16S ribosomal RNA". It matches the Rfam family "Bacterial small subunit ribosomal RNA", at positions 319 to 524 of the family's 1533-position model. The record is from RNAcentral. Lineage: Bacteria; Bacillati; Bacillota; Clostridia; Eubacteriales; Clostridiaceae.